This 440-nucleotide ribosomal RNA is filed under the name uncultured bacterium. Its description in RNAcentral is "partial 16S ribosomal RNA". It matches the Rfam family "Bacterial small subunit ribosomal RNA", at positions 338 to 795 of the family's 1533-position model. The record is from RNAcentral.
CCUACGGGUGGCAGCAGUAGGGAAUAUUGCUCAAUGGGGGAAACCCUGAACCAGCAACGUCGCGUGGAUGAUGAAGGUUUUCGGAUUGUAAACCCCUUUUGUUAGAGAAGAUAAUGACGGUAUCUAACGAAUAAGCACCGGCUAACUCCGUGCCAGCAGCCGCGGUAAUACGGCGGGUGCAAGCGUUACUCGGAAUCACUGGACGUAAAGCGCGCGUAGGUGGGAUAGCAAGUCAGAUGUUAAAACCUAGGGCUUAACCAUAGAACUGCAUUUGAAACUGUUAUUCUAGAGUAUGGGAGAGGUAGGUGGAAUUCUUGGUGUAGCGGUAAAAUGCGUAGAGAUCAAGAGGAAUACUCAUUGCGAAGGCGGCCUGCUAGAACAUAACUGACGCUGAUGCGCGAAAGCGUGGGGAGCAAACAGGAUUAGAUACCCUUGUAGUC